Molecule: transfer RNA, 74 nt
Filed under: Remersonia thermophila
Lineage: Eukaryota; Fungi; Ascomycota; Sordariomycetes; Sordariales; Chaetomiaceae
Also listed under: 4 other names
Description: tRNA-Val
Rfam family: tRNA
About the family: Transfer RNA (tRNA) molecules are approximately 80 nucleotides in length.
Source: RNAcentral
GGUUCGAUGGUGUAGUUGGUUAUCACGUCAGUCUAACACACUGAAGGUCUCCAGUUCGAACCUGGAUCGAAUCA